Molecule: unclassified non-coding RNA, 332 nt
Filed under: soil metagenome
Description: partial contains 5.8S ribosomal RNA, internal transcribed spacer 2, and large subunit ribosomal RNA
Rfam family: 5.8S ribosomal RNA (bases 1-121)
Source: RNAcentral
GAUGAAGAACGUAGCGAAAUGCGAUAAGUAAUGCGAAUUGCAGAAUUUCCGUGAAUCAUCGAAUCUUUGAACGCACAUUGCGCCCCCUGGUAUUCCGGGGGGCAUGCCUGUUCGAGCGUCAUUUCACCACUCAAGCCUCGCUUGGUAUUGGGCAAUGCGGUCCGCCGCCUGCCUCAAAUCGACCGGCUGGGUCUUCUGUCCCCUAAGCGUUGUGGAAACUAUUCGCUAAAGGGUGUUCGGGAGGCUACGCCGUAAAACAACCCCAUUUCUAAGGUUGACCUCGGAUCAGGUAGGGAUACCCGCUGAACUUAAGCAUAUCAAUAAGCGGAGGA